Molecule: ribosomal RNA, 513 nt
Filed under: uncultured bacterium
Lineage: Bacteria
Description: partial 16S ribosomal RNA
Rfam family: Bacterial small subunit ribosomal RNA
Source: RNAcentral
GACGAACGCUGGCGGCAUGCCUAAUACAUGCAAGUCGAGCGAACAGAUGAAGUGCUUGCACUUCUGACGUUAGCGGCGAACGGGUGAGUAACACGUAAGGAAUCUACCUAUAAGCGGGGGAUAACAUUCGGAAACGGGUGCUAAUACCGCAUAAUAUCUUCUUCCGCAUGGAAGAAGAUUGAAAGACGGCUCUGCUGUCACUUAUAGAUGACCUUGCGGUGCAUUAGUUGGUUGGUGGGGUAAUGGCCUACCAAGACAAUGAUGCAGAGCCGAGCUGAGAGGGGGAUCGGCCACAUUGGGACUGAGACACGGCACAAACUCCGACGGGAGGCAGCAGUAGGGAAUCUUACGCAAUGGGCGAAAGCCUGACGGAGCAAUGCCGCGUGAGUGAAGAAGGCCUUCGGGUCGUAAAACUCUGUUAUAAGAGAAGAACAAAUUGUAGAGUAACUGCUACAGUCUUGACGGUAUCUUAUCAGAAAGCCACGGCUAACUACGUGCCAGCAGCCGCAGUAA